RNAcentral lists this long non-coding RNA (3725 nucleotides) under Octopus vulgaris (common octopus). Lineage: Eukaryota; Metazoa; Mollusca; Cephalopoda; Octopoda; Octopodidae. The record is from RNAcentral.
AUUAUUUCUAUAUUAGGUUCGCGAAGAUGUCCUUGGAGCUUUAAAUAAUAAUUUUCUUCAAACUUUGAACAAUGCUUGGAAUGAUCAUCAAACAUCCAUGGUAAUGAUUAGAGAUAUUCUAAUGUAUAUGGUAAGUUUUCAUUUUAAUUUAUUCAUAAUUUAAUCUUUUACUAAUAGCUUGACCGAUCACUUUAAUAAGUAAUCAAAGUGCAUACACUUCAUGAUUAUGAAAACUAAGCUAUAUUAGUACAAAUCUACUGGAUGGUUAUCGUUGAAAGGGAAAUUGGGUUGAUAGAAACCAUUUGGAAGCUCAUUCGAUGGACUGUAUGUAAGUAAAGAGCAAACUUUGCCAUUACUAAUUUUACCUGUAAUUCUCAGGUAAAAAUGUAAUUGGCUGAGUUUUCUAUAAAACUCAGCCAAUUACAUCUAUUUACUAAGUAGGUAGUUUCAUUAAGCAACCAGAACAGUUAUUGAAACGAAAUCCAUAAUAUAUACCAUGCAGAUAGAAGAAAUGUGAAAGAUGAGUGAGGAAAAAAUUGGUAUCCUGGAAAAUAUAUGAAAAUUAGGGGUGGGGGGACUAGGUACAGGCAUGACCAUGUGGUUCAGAAGCUUGCUUUGCAACAACAUGGUUUCAGGUUCAGUACCACUAUGCAGGACUUCUAAUAUAGCCCUGAGCCAACCAAUGCUUUGUGAGCUAAUUUGGUUGACAGAAGAUUCUUAAGAACAAUUUUAUAAAGAAAGCUCUUUCUGGAUUUCAGGUAGUUUCUGGUGAGCUGAUACUUAUUUCUCAACUUAUCUAGUAAUUUCUUUCUUCAAGCUUCAUGGGAAAUUCAUUAAUAUUAAUUUUGAAACCUGAAAUAUCCAAGAAUAGUGACAGUUCAGCAUGCAUAGAUCUUUUUCUCAGGCUGUUUUAAGUAUAUCCAACAAAAAUAAAAAGUUGGUAUGUUUUACUCCCUAUUAGAAAGGUUGUGAUCUUUGAUUUUGUCUUUGCUUAUUGAAAGUGAAGAUAUACUUGAGACAAACAUUAAAGCAUCAGGGAUUUUGGUACUAUUCAACUUUAUUCUAAGUCAUGUGUUGUCUUUUUACUUCUGUUUGAGGUUAUCAAAUUACACUCUUUGAUAUAACUCAAGAAUGUCCACUUUUUGUUCUUAGAGAAAUUUAUCUGGAUGGCAUUGUAUAUAUGUAAGGGUGUGCACAUUACAAGGUACAAGUCUUUACUCAGCAGAAGAUUGUUGAAUUGUCAUUACAUAUGAUUGCCAAUAUUACUAAAUAGGAUGCUUUCAACAUCAAUGCUUUUGCUAUGUCUAGGAUUCUUUUAGAAAAUAAAUUAAGGCUGCAAGAUUGUAAGUUACUGUUAUUAGGUCUUUUAGACUUAUUCUGACUUUCAUUUAACUUCAUCUAGGUGAAAGGUUGCAUGUCACUGAUAAUAAAAUGUUGGUCAACAUUGAAUAUGAGACUGCAAAUCAUGAAAUUGUAGCUUGAAGUUAUAACAGGUAUAUAACAGUAACUAAAGAUAGUGAGGUUAGCUGGCCUUAACCCUUUUGUUACAAUAUAUCUGCUGAAAUUGUCUUUCUUUUUUAUCUCCAAUUUUUAGAAUAGUGAAGAAUUUAACGAGAUCACUUUGUUGUUAUAAAUCUUGUGUUUCAAACAUAAAUUGAUAUGAAAUUUUUAUGGAAAGUUUUGAUUUAGAUCAAUGACAUUUGUAUCAUAGAACCAGUGUCUAACCUGGCCAAAAAAGUUUUUGGUUCAUAAUACCAACCCGGCCGAGAGAACCUAUUGUUAUUUAAAUGUAAAUUUGAACCCAAAUCUCAUUGGUACAUUCGUUAAAACACGUGAUUUCACUUUGUAAAUAGUUGGGUUAUAGUAUCCGACAUUGCUUGACAUGAUAUCUCAACUCAGUGAAAUUUUGGGAGAUUUUUUUUUUGGCAUCGAUUUUUCUUCAACUUUGAAAAUGGAUAGGAGUUUCAUGUUAUCAAGCAUUGAUUCCGAAUUUAAAGCUUUUCCAACGGAAAAUAGGGAGAUAUCGAGAAAAAGAAUGAAUGAGGUACAAAAGCACGUGGUGUACAAUAAUGAAUAGGAUAUUUUUUCUUAUCCGAAAAUGAAAACAGUGAUUCUGAAGAAACUGAAAGCGGCGACAGCAAAGACGAUUUUAUAUCGGAAUGAAGUAAAAAACUUUAAAAAUGUUUUUAUUAGCAAUUUUUCUGAGGAGACAGUCUAUCCAUAGUCUUUCUUAGGAAGCGAAACCAUUAAACUUUUAUUUUUUUCAGUAUGCUUGUUUGAAGUGAUCACUGCGGAAACAAACUGUUACGCAGAAUGUAAACAAACACGAAAUGGGGGAUCAAAGUUUGGAAAAAUUUGUGAAGCAAAUGCUGGGUACUAUUGUGGAUUUAGUUUUUAUACAGGGAAAAUAAUAUUAGUCAACAUGGCUUAGGGUACGAUGUGGUCUGGAAGUUAUUGUUUGAAGUGAUCACUGCGAAAACAAAUUUACGCAGAAUGUAAACAAACACAAAAUGGAGGAUCAAAGUUUGGAAAAUUUUUGAAGUAAAUACUGGGUACUGCUGUGGAUUUAGUUUUUAUACAGGGAAACUAAUGUUAGUCAGCAUGGCCUAGGGAACGAUGUGGUCUGGAAUUUAUCACUUCCAUUCUAUAACCAGGGCCGUAUAUUAUUUUUUGACCGAUUUCUUUAGUUCAGUCAAACUUGCAGUGGAUUCCAGUAUUUCAGUUUAUUCCACUUUUAUGGUACACCUGUUGUGCAUUAAAUUCAACUGAUGAUCUAGUGAUGUGCACAAUACUUCUUUAUCAAAAUUUUGUUGCAUACCCAAUAUUAGCUGAUGAUUCAUUUUCUAUGGUGAUGUUUAAACAAAAUUUUAAUAUUUUUAGCUUUUGCUCAAUUUACCUGUAAUUAAAGUCACUUUGAGACAAAAGUUAUGCAACAGAAUUGAUUAAGAACCUUUUCUUUAAUUAUGUUCCAAAUAUCACAUUAAUAUGUUGAUAAGUAAAAAAGUUACAGUUAUUUAAUGAAACAAGCCUAAAUUCAUGAUUAUUUUAGAAUUUAAUUGAAACUCAUGAGGGGUGUAUUUUGGUCAGAAAUAUAGUAACGAAAGGGUUAAAUGGUUUAGUAUCAAAAGGGUUGAGGAAGCAGUUUCAGAUAUCAAAUAUCAAAAGAGACCUAACUCCAUAAAAUGUAAAUGAGAAAAGAAACAAAGGAAAUCAAGAAGAAAUUUAGAUAGAGAUAAUGAAAGAGGGAAGACAGACAAAGAGACCUAACUCCAUAAAAUGUAAAUGAGAAAAGAAACGAAGGAAAUCAAGAAGAAAUUUAGAUAGAGAUAAUGAAAGAGGGAAGACAGACAAAGCUACCUUCUUCCAGUUCUUUGAUUAUCACCCAAUAUUUAACCCAUCAAUAAUUGUACAACCUCAAAAUUCCUUCAAAUUUAUGAAAUUAAAGAAAAAAAUACUGAAUCAUCUUUAUUUUAAAAUAUGUGAAUUAGUUUUUACUUGAUAAUUUUUUUCUAUAAGUUUUUAAUUUAAAUCUAUUUUUAAAAAUCUUUUCGCAGGACAGAGUGUAUGUACAACAGAAUAAUGUUGACAAUGUGUACAAUCUUGGUUUAAUGAUAUUCAGAGACCAAGUAGUACGGCAUCCCAUUAUUCGAGAGCAUCUAAGAACUACAUUAUUAGAAAUGGUGUCUAAAGAACGCAAAGGGGAAAUAGUUGACAGGUAAGGUAUU